CAGUUCAACUGUGAAUAGAG
RNAcentral lists this small nuclear RNA (20 nucleotides) under Arabidopsis thaliana (thale cress). Its description in RNAcentral is "snRNA_08841". Lineage: Eukaryota; Viridiplantae; Streptophyta; Magnoliopsida; Brassicales; Brassicaceae. The record is from RNAcentral.